AUUGAACGUUGGCGGCACGCCUUAUACAUGCAAGUCGAACGAACCUUCGGGUUAGUGGCGGACGGGUGAGUAACGCGUGGGAAUCUGCCCUCAGGAGGGGGAUAACGGCUGGAAACGGCCGCUAAUACCCCAUAUGCCGAGAGGUGAAACGAAUUUCGCCUGAGGAUGAGCCCGCGUCUGAUCAGCUAGUUGGUGAGGUAAGAGCUCACCAAGGCAUCGAUCAGUAGCUGGUCUGAGAGGAUGAUCAGCCACACUGGGACUGAGACACGGCCCAGACUCCUACGGGAGGCAGCAGUGGGGAAUUUUCCGCAAUGGGCGAAAGCCUGACGGAGCAACGCCGCGUGAGGGAUGAAGGCCUCUGGGCUGUAAACCUCUUUUCUCAAGGAAGAAGAUCUGACGGUACUUGAGGAAUAAGCCACGGCUAAUUCCGUG
RNAcentral lists this ribosomal RNA (432 nucleotides) under uncultured bacterium. RNAcentral describes it as "bacterial SSU rRNA". It matches the Rfam family "Bacterial small subunit ribosomal RNA", at positions 30 to 507 of the family's 1533-position model. The record is from RNAcentral.